UUGCUAAGCUGGACUCGUCACCGCACAUGUUGUUUUGGGUCUUUUGAACUCCAACACAAACGAGUGAGGGCUCAAAGCAUUGGACACCAAGAAUGGGGGUCUGGGAAGAUGGCUGCGGUGGAGGUUUCCAGUAGAGAGGACAGAGCCGUCCAAAGCAGGAAGACAAUGAGGCAAGCCACCACAGCCCAGUAAGAGUAAAUCCAGGUCUGAGCACGUGAGUCCGUGGGCAGAAUGCUUGCCUGGCAGACACAGACCCCAGCUUCAUCUCCAGUGCCUCAUAUACCCUGUUCAGAGGUACAGGUGGAAACGGGAGAACCAGAAGGUGGAAGCCAUCCUUAGUUACAUAGUGUGGGAUAUGGGGCUGCUUCAGACUGACUG
This is a non-coding RNA of Arvicanthis niloticus (Nile rat), 378 nucleotides long. Lineage: Eukaryota; Metazoa; Chordata; Mammalia; Rodentia; Muridae. The record is from RefSeq and is a predicted model, not a curated record.